GACGAACGCUGGCGGCGUGCUUAACACAUGCAAGUCGAACGGAAAGGCACUGAAUUUGUGGUUUGCUCGAGUGGCGAACGGGUGAGUAACACGUGAGUAACCUACCCUUGACUUUGGGUUAACUUCAGGAAACUGGGGCUAAUACCGGAUAGGAGCUCCUGCUGCAUAGUGUGGGUUGGAAAGUUUCGGCGGUUGGGAAUGGACUCGCGGCUUAUCAGCUUGUUGGUGGGGUAGUGGCUUACCAAGGCUUUGACGGGUAGCCGGCCCGGGAGGGUGACCGGCCACAUUGGGACUGAGAUACGGCCCAGACUCCUACGGGAGGCAGCAGUGGGGAAUAUUGCACAAUGGGCGGAAGCCUGAUGCAGCAACGCCGCGUGCGGGAUGACGGCCUUCGGGUUGUAAACCGCUUUCGCCUGUGACGAAGCGUGAGUGACGGUAAUGGGUAAAGAAGCACCGGCUAACUACGUG
RNAcentral lists this ribosomal RNA (468 nucleotides) under uncultured bacterium. RNAcentral's name for it is "partial 16S ribosomal RNA". It matches the Rfam family "Bacterial small subunit ribosomal RNA", at positions 28 to 507 of the family's 1533-position model. The record is from RNAcentral.